Molecule: transfer RNA, 74 nt
Filed under: Candidatus Roizmanbacteria bacterium
Lineage: Bacteria; Candidatus Roizmaniibacteriota
Description: tRNA-Gln
Rfam family: tRNA
About the family: Transfer RNA (tRNA) molecules are approximately 80 nucleotides in length. Their secondary structure includes four short double-helical elements and three loops (D, anti-codon, and T loops).
Source: RNAcentral
UGCCCGGUCGUCUAAUGGUAGGACAACAGACUCUGAAUCUGUUUAUCGGGGUUCAAAUCCCUGCUGGGCAGCCA